This 463-nucleotide ribosomal RNA is filed under the name Klebsiella pneumoniae. Its description in RNAcentral is "partial 23S ribosomal RNA". It matches the Rfam family "Bacterial large subunit ribosomal RNA", at positions 2259 to 2721 of the family's 2925-position model. Lineage: Bacteria; Pseudomonadati; Pseudomonadota; Gammaproteobacteria; Enterobacterales; Enterobacteriaceae. The record is from RNAcentral.
UGGUGGGUAGUUUGACUGGGGCGGUCUCCUCCCAAAGCGUAACGGAGGAGCACGAAGGUUAGCUAAUCCUGGUCGGACAUCAGGAGGUUAGUGCAAUGGCAUAAGCUAGCUUGACUGCGAGCGUGACGGCGCGAGCAGGUGCGAAAGCAGGUCAUAGUGAUCCGGUGGUUCUGAAUGGAAGGGCCAUCGCUCAACGGAUAAAAGGUACUCCGGGGAUAACAGGCUGAUACCGCCCAAGAGUUCAUAUCGACGGCGGUGUUUGGCACCUCGAUGUCGGCUCAUCACAUCCUGGGGCUGAAGUAGGUCCCAAGGGUAUGGCUGUUCGCCAUUUAAAGUGGUACGCGAGCUGGGUUUAGAACGUCGUGAGACAGUUCGGUCCCUAUCUGCCGUGGGCGCUGGAGAAUUGAGGGGGGCUGCUCCUAGUACGAGAGGACCGGAGUGGACGCAUCACUGGUGUUCGGGU